UGCUAUGAACGUUUCAUUUAAUACAUGCCU
This 30-nucleotide non-coding RNA is filed under the name Mus musculus (house mouse). The record is from RNAcentral. Lineage: Eukaryota; Metazoa; Chordata; Mammalia; Rodentia; Muridae.